Molecule: transfer RNA, 76 nt
Filed under: Legionella israelensis
Lineage: Bacteria; Pseudomonadati; Pseudomonadota; Gammaproteobacteria; Legionellales; Legionellaceae
Also listed under: 3 other names
Description: tRNA-Ala(tgc)
Rfam family: tRNA
About the family: Transfer RNA (tRNA) molecules are approximately 80 nucleotides in length. Their secondary structure includes four short double-helical elements and three loops (D, anti-codon, and T loops).
Source: RNAcentral
GGGGCCGUAGCUCAGCUGGGAGAGCACCUGCCUUGCACGCAGGGGGUCAGGAGUUCGAUCCUCCUCGGCUCCACCA